GGAGGUGGCAAGCGUUAUUCGGAAUUACUGGGCGUAAAGGGCGCGUAGGCGGGGAGGCAAGUCGGGUGUGAAAUCCCUCGGCCCAACCGAGGAACGGCGCUCGAAACUGCUUCUCUUGAGUCCCGGAGAGGAAGGUGGAAUUCCCGGUGUAGCGGUGAAAUGUGUAGAGAUCGGGAGGAACACCGGUGGCGAAGGCGGCCUUCUGGACGGUGACUGACGCUGAGGCGCGAAAGCGUGGGUAGCAAACGGGGAUUAGAUACCCCGGUAGUCCACGCUGUAAACGAUGGGUGCUAGGUGUGGGGGGUAUCGACCCCCUUCCCGUGCCCGAAGCUAACGCAUUAAGCACCCCCGCCUGGGGAGUACGGCCGCAAGGUUG
Molecule: ribosomal RNA, 376 nt
Filed under: uncultured organism
Description: partial 16S ribosomal RNA
Rfam family: Bacterial small subunit ribosomal RNA
Source: RNAcentral